Molecule: long non-coding RNA, 2391 nt
Filed under: Equus caballus (horse)
Lineage: Eukaryota; Metazoa; Chordata; Mammalia; Perissodactyla; Equidae
Description: lncRNA (ENSECAG00000046522.1)
Source: RNAcentral
UUUUUUUUUUUGUACCUUACCCUUCCUAGAUUUCACUAGUCCCUUUUUAAUUAGGAGAACUGAAAAGGGGGGCUUCAUUAAGACAAUGAAGGGUGUUGUGGAUUCAAGACUCACACUCAUUCUGUGACGGAUCAAUGAAAGGUUGGCCACAGUUCACCUACAGGAGGAUUUGGAGUUUGAUACAGAACAUCGAUCAUCAUUUCUGGUGUCCAUCCAAAUGACCUCUGGACCUCUUUCAAAAGUCUGUGUGUCUGGCCCAUCCCCCUGAGAUGGACUUAAGAGAAGCCUGCGCAACAUCAGCAACAAUUUCACCUUUUUAAGAAAACAGAUGGGUUCAAUAAACUGUGGCUGUUGUUCUUAACUCACCUAGACCUCUGCGCCCCUUUUGCUGAAAAUAAACUGCUACAAGGGAGAAUGUGUAAUGUUCGCAGAGUUCAUUCAAACUCCAGCUCUCUUUAGAAUUAUGAGUGCUCAUUGUCUUAGAUUUCUAUUAGAUAGAGAAAAACAAAGCCCUUAGAGUAGAGAAUGAGAUAAGAAGGUUAUGGUCUCAUAUCCUCAUGAACCUUCAACUUCGGGCUCUACCUACAAGCACAUAGACCUCUCCAACACAACAAGAAGGUUCUCAAUUGCCUGUUGCUCCUCCACCAACAGAGUUUGACUGUCACCUGUGAACAAAACUUCUUUGGGUGCACCCUGUUACUAGAGAAACCAGGUCUGCUCAUGGUCCAGGACUGAAUUCACUCAUGUCAGAAGGCUGGAAAGUUUUGGAAUCUACCCAACAGGACUACACACAACAAAGGGUUCAACCAGCAUUUGUUGAAUGAUCCAACAGAACUCAAAACAUUUCAAAGAUUCAUUGAAGCAAAUGGCAAACUCAUGGGGUUUCAAGAAUUCCUGAAAGAAUGGCUAUUUAGAUAUUUCCAAAUCCACUGGAAAAUUCACAAACACUUAAAUAAUUUUGUAAGUAUAGGAUUACAAAAAUUAUUUUUUAUCUUCAGUGCUUAUACAUGACUAUAGUUAUGUGCCCAUAUUACAUAUUCCAGGAUGCUCUGAUGAUGUUACUUUCCAGCUGGAUUCCUGUCUGUCAGUAGAGGUUAUUCCUGAGUGUUUUAUAGUGAUGAUAAGCACUAGUCAACAAUUGAAAAUCAGGUGCCACAGGAAAGACUGAGUAUUGCCCGUCAGAUGUCAGCCAUAGAAGGGUCAAGGGGAAAUUAAUAUGAUAGGGCUGGCUUGAGAUCUUGCCUUGGGCAAUUAACUUGCUGAUAAUUUGCAACAUUCAUUUUAUGUAGAAUUGAAUGUGAUGUGUUGCUAGACUCCCCAAAGGAGUAGCUUUUAAGAAAGGUGUCUUUUAUGGUUUGCAUCACACAGUUUUGCAAGUGGUGCAAAGCAGCUACAGACUCUGGAAUCUAUAGCUGGCAGGAGAAAUAAAUAUUUCCGUAUUGCAUUUGGCAAUUGCUAUGUAUUAAGGCAAUUUUGUUUAAAAAUUAUUAAGGGCUUUGUAGCACAAAGACCCUGUUAAAUUACACAGAAAGGAUUACAUUUAGGAGGUGGGGUGAACUGAGGGAUAUUGGAUAUGCAAGCACAGAUGGUCUUGAUCGACUCAUGAACACACCAGAGCCAAGGGGGAAGUGUAUGUUUUGUGUGGUUACAUAUGUUGUAAAGAAAAUUGCCCCUGGUUCUUUCCUGUAAAACAGUAUGAGGAGGGAAGAAAAGGGGAGAGACAAGACCACGCGGGGAAAGGUGAAGCAGAGACAAGAGCAGCAUAUGCAGCAGCUGUCUGGCCAAGGGAGGAACAAAGAGAGGGUGAGGAGGCAGGGGAGCCAAAUCCCUUCCCUGGCAGGUGAGUGACUGAUGAGAGGAGGCCCUUCUGAGCCAAAUAUCAAGGGCACAGAGUGGGUGUCCGUUCUCUGGAUAGUUGCCUUGGACUCUAGCUGUAACUCCCCAACCACACCGCCUGGUUUGGCAUACAGUGUGUCUUCCCCUGAGGAGUGGGUUUAUACGGAGUUGCUUCUAAUCCUCCCAAUUCCUUCCUUUUCCCCCAAGGACUUGAGACACCUGGAAAGGGCAUGGGCACCUCUGUAAUUCUGAACUGUGUUCCGAGCCCUUUACAGACCUUGCCUUGUAUAAUCCUGACAGAACGCUAUGAGGUAGGUUUAGAGUGUUGUCCCAUUUUAUAGAUGAGGAAACCUGGCACCAAGAGGUUAAGUAACUGGCCGGGGGCACAUAGCUAGUGAUAUUGGGGAAGGCUUUGAAAGCCCGCAGUCUGGCUCCAGAGUGCCCACUGUUCAACCUUUACUGCCUCCAUCAACACCAAUGAGAUGACUUCUUUAAGGCAAUGAACCCCUUUAGAGCAGUAAGUGGGGAUUUUUAUCUCUGUGGGCCUCAUAAGAC